CGUAUACAUCAUGUGCAGUUCACCUAACAUCUCAUCUUUCAACCCUCUCUAGCCCUCGCCCGAUUCACUUCCUCAUUCGAUCUUUCGCUGUGUCGUGUCGUCCUUCUUUGAUCGUUGGAGCCGGUAUCUUUAGUUGUGGAUUGAAGCUAUGUACUCCUCGAACGCAUCUGAUGGCUACCCACAGAAGCCCGGUGCCUCUGCUCCGCCACCGCCGCCACCCAUGGAUGGCAUUCCAGUGCAACCCAUGAACCAAAGUUAUGCAAAUUUCGGGGCCCCGAACAAUCCUCUGCCCCCCGCGGGUCUUCAAGCUCGACCCAUUAACAACAUGCCUUGGUCCUCUGGGCUUUUCAGUUGCUUCGACGACGUUCCAACUUGCAAGUCCUCUGGAAUUUUCUUCGCAAUCCAUUUGGUUUAGAGGUGGAUUAACACUUGAUAGAACAGUUAUGCCAUGUAUACAACUACUGGGCGACAUCUACGAGCAAAAGUCGGACAGUUUAUAGACUGGAGAAUCCAAUUGCAAUUGCCUAGUGUCGUGGGGUUAUCAGAAUUUAGCAAUUGAAUGAUCUUAUACCACUUUGGUUGCUUGUCAUUUUGGUGCCCCUGCAUCACAUUCGGGCAAAUCGCAUUCGCACGAAUUGAAGAAGGAUCGACAUUAUUAGACUUGCUCACUCGGAUUGGUUUUUGUUGCAGCAUGCCCUGUGCACGGAGCUAUUUACACAGUGAUCGCCUUGUUGACCGGGUGCGCUUGCUGCUACUCCUGCUUCUACCGCACCAAGAUGAGACAGCAAUACCAGCUGCAAGAGAAUCCUUGCGCCGAUUGCUUAGUCCAUUUCUGCUGCGGAUCUGUGCUUUAACCCAGGAGUACUGUGAGCUCGAAAAGUGCGGAUUCGACAUGUCCAUUGGAUGGUAUAUGAACAUGAAAAGGCAGAACAGAGGAAUCCCAAUGGCUCCAGUCCCUCCUGGGGGCAUGAUGAGGUAGAGAUCCAAGAUCACCUCAACUUGGCUUGGAUGCUCCAGAAAUUUGAACCCUAUGUUGGAGAGUCUACACUGGUAAAAACCCUUGAGGGAUCACUGCCCUCUCUCCUGAACCCUUCUGCAAUGUUACAACUAUUACAGAUAUGAUGUCCUAAUUCUAAGGCUAUCAUCUCAUUGUCAAAAAGUUUAUGUAAUAUGAUCCCAAUCAUAUAACAUGAAAACAUAACAUUUCUCUCUUA
Eucalyptus grandis is the source of this 1214-nucleotide RNA transcript. It is a transcript of the gene named protein PLANT CADMIUM RESISTANCE 2, with no coding region annotated. The record is from RefSeq and is a predicted model, not a curated record. NCBI's taxonomy places the organism in Eukaryota, Viridiplantae, Streptophyta, Magnoliopsida, Myrtales, Myrtaceae. The transcript is spliced from 3 exons.